CACUAUCAUUACCUGAAUACAUAGGGUAAUGAAGCGAACCGGGAGAACUGAAACAUCUAAGUACCCGAGGAAAAGAAAUCAAACGAGAUUCCCCCAGUAGCGGCGAGCGAACGGGGAGCAGCCCAGGACCUUAAUCAGCAUCAGUGUUAAGAGAACAGUCUGGAAAGGCUGGCCACAGCAGGUGAUAGCCCUGUAUCUGAAAGCACUGGUGUUGUGAGUCCGAUGAGUAAGGCGGGACACGUGUUAUCCUGUCUGAAUACGGGGGGACCAUCCUCCAAGGCUAAAUACUCCUGACUGACCGAUAGUGAACCAGUACCGUGAGGGAAAGGCGAAAAGAACCCCGGCGAGGGGAGUGAAAAAGAACCUGAAACCGUGUACGUACAAGCAGUGGGAGCACCUUUAUGGUGUGACUGCGUACCUUUUGUAUAAUGGGUCAGCGACUUAUAUUCUGUAGCAAGGUUAACCGAAUAGGGGAGCCGCAGGGAAACCGAGUCUUAACUGGGCGAAUUAGUUGCAGGGUAUAGACCCGAAACCCGGUGAUCUAGCCAUGGGCAGGUUGAAGGUUGGGUAACACUAACUGGAGGACCGAACCGACUAAUGUUGAAAAAUUAGCGGAUGACUUGUGGCUGGGGGUGAAAGGCCAAUCAAACCGGGAGAUAGCUGGUUCUCCCCGAAAGCUAUUUAGGUAGCGCCUCGUGAAUUCAUCUCCGGGGGUAGAGCACUGUUUCGGCUAGGGGGUCAUCCCGACUUACCAACCCGAUGCAAACUGCGAAUACCGGAGAAUGUUAUCACGGGAGACACACGGCGGGUGCUAACGUUCGUCGUGAAGAGGGAAACAACCCAGACCGCCGGCUAAGGUCCCAAAGUCAUAAUUAAGUGGGAAACGAAGUGGGAAGGCUCAGACAGCCAGGAUGUUGGCUUAGAAGCAGCCAUCAUUUAAAGAAAGCGUAAUAGCUCACUGGUCGAGUCGGCCUGCGCGGAAGAUGUAACGGGGCUAAAUUAUGCACCGAAGCCGCGGCAGCGAUAUGUAAAUAUUGUUGGGUAGGGGAGCGUUCUGUAAGCCUGUGAAGGUGUGCUGUGAGGCAUGCUGGAGGUAUCAGAAGUGCGAAUGCUGACAUAAGUAACGAUAAUGCGGGUGAAAAACCCGCACGCCGGAAGACCAAGGGUUCCUGUCCAACGUUAAUCGGGGCAGGGUGAGUCGACCCCUAAGGCGAGGCUGAAAAGCGUAGUCGAUGGGCAACGGGUUAAUAUUCCCGUACUGGUGGUAACUGCGAAGGGGGGACGGAGAAAGCUAAAUCAUCCGGGCGACGGUUGUCCCGGUUUAAGCGUGCAGGUGGACUGACCAGGCAAAUCCGGUCGGUUGUUAACACUGAGGCGUGACGACGAGCCACUACGGUGGUGAAGUGAUUGAUGCUCUGCUUCCGGGAAAAGCCUCUAAGCUCCAGGUUACCAUUAAUCGUACCCCAAACCGACACAGGUGGUCAGGUAGAGAAUACUCAGGCGCUUGAGAGAACUCGGGUGAAGGAACUAGGCAAAAUGGUGCCGUAACUUCGGGAGAAGGCACGCUGGCACUAGGUGAAGUGGUUUACCCAUGGAGCUGAAGCCAGCCGCAGAUACCAGCUGGCUGCAACUGUUUAUUAAAAACACAGCACUGUGCAAACACGAAAGUGGACGUAUACGGUGUGACGCCUGCCCGGUGCCGGAAGGUUAAUUGAUGAGGUUAGCGCAAGCGAAGCUUCUGAUCGAAGCCCCGGUAAACGGCGGCCGUAACUAUAACGGUCCUAAGGUAGCGAAAUUCCUUGUCGGGUAAGUUCCGACCUGCACGAAUGGCGUAAUGAUGGCCAGGCUGUCUCCACCCGAGACUCAGUGAAAUUGAACUCGCUGUGAAGAUGCAGUGUACCCGCGGCAAGACGGAAAGACCCCGUGAACCUUUACUAUAGCUUGACACUGAACAUUGAGCCUUGAUGUGUAGGAUAGGUGGGAGGCAACGAAGUGUGGACGCCAGUCUGCACGGAGCCAUCCUUGAAAUACCACCCUUUAACGUUUGAUGUUCUAACCCAGACCCGUAAUCCGGGUCGGGGACCGUGUCUGGUGGGUAGUUUGACUGGGGCGGUCUCCUCCCAAAGAGUAACGGAGGAGCACGAAGGUUGGCUAAGCAUGGUCGGACAUCAUGCGGUUAGUGCAAAGGCAUAAGCCAGCUUGACUGCGAGAGUGACGGCUCGAGCAGGUACGAAAGUAGGUCUUAGUGAUCCGGUGGUUCUGAAUGGAAGGGCCAUCGCUCAACGGAUAAAAGGUACUCCGGGGAUAACAGGCUGAUACCGCCCAAGAGUUCAUAUCGACGGCGGUGUUUGGCACCUCGAUGUCGGCUCAUCACAUCCUGGGGCUGAAGUAGGUCCCAAGGGUAUGGCUGUUCGCCAUUUAAAGUGGUACGCGAGCUGGGUUUAGAACGUCGUGAGACAGUUCGGUCCCUAUCUGCCGUGGGCGCUGGAAGAUUGAGAGGGGUUGCUCCUAGUACGAGAGGACCGGAGUGAACGCACCACUGGUGUACGGGUUGUGAUGCCAAUUGCAUUGCCCGGUAGCUAAGUGCGGAAGAGAUAACCGCUGAAAGCAUCUAAGCGGGAAACUUGCCUCGAGAUGAGUCUUCCCUGACCCUUUAAGGGUCCUGAAGGAACGUUUGAGACUAAGACGUUGAUAGGCUGGGUGUGUAAGUGCAGCGAUGUAUUGAGCUAACCAGUACUAAUGAACCGAGAGGCUUAACCUG
Molecule: ribosomal RNA, 2761 nt
Filed under: Morganella morganii
Lineage: Bacteria; Pseudomonadati; Pseudomonadota; Gammaproteobacteria; Enterobacterales; Morganellaceae
Description: bacterial LSU rRNA
Rfam family: Bacterial large subunit ribosomal RNA
Source: RNAcentral